GCCAGAGUGGUGGAAUGGCAGACACAACGGACUUAAAAUCCGUAGUCCGCAAGGGCGUGCGGGUUCGACUCCCGCCUCUGGCACCA
Molecule: transfer RNA, 86 nt
Filed under: Kiritimatiellia bacterium
Lineage: Bacteria; Pseudomonadati; Kiritimatiellota; Kiritimatiellia
Description: Kiritimatiellae bacterium (gut metagenome) tRNA-Leu
Rfam family: tRNA
About the family: Transfer RNA (tRNA) molecules are approximately 80 nucleotides in length.
Source: RNAcentral